RNAcentral lists this ribosomal RNA (422 nucleotides) under uncultured prokaryote. RNAcentral's name for it is "bacterial SSU rRNA". It matches the Rfam family "Bacterial small subunit ribosomal RNA", at positions 355 to 774 of the family's 1533-position model. The record is from RNAcentral.
UGAGGAAUAUUGGUCAAUGGGCGAGAGCCUGAACCAGCCAAGUCGCGUGAAGGAAGAAGGAUCUAUGGUUCGUAAACUUCUUUUGCAGGGGAAUAAAGUGCAGGACGUGUCCUGUUUUGUAUGUACCCUGAGAAUAAGGAUCGGCUAACUCCGUGCCAGCAGCCGCGGUAAUACGGAGGAUCCGAGCGUUAUCCGGAUUUAUUGGGUUUAAAGGGUGCGUAGGUGGUGUAAUAAGGCAGCGGUGAAAGUUUGCAGCUUAACUGGAAAAAUGCCGGUGAAACGGUUAGACUUGAGUGUAAAUGAGGUAGGCGGAAUGCGUGGUGUAGCGGUGAAAUGCUUAGAUAUCACGCAGAACUCCGAUUGCGAAGGCAGCUUACCAAGCUACAACUGACACUGAAGCACGAAAGCGUGGGGAUCAAACA